Molecule: ribosomal RNA, 424 nt
Filed under: Paracoccus pantotrophus
Lineage: Bacteria; Pseudomonadati; Pseudomonadota; Alphaproteobacteria; Rhodobacterales; Paracoccaceae
Description: bacterial SSU rRNA
Rfam family: Bacterial small subunit ribosomal RNA
Source: RNAcentral
GUUUGAUCCCUGGCUCAGAAACGAACGCUGGCGGCAGGCCUAACACAUGCAAGUCGAGCGCACCCUUCGGGGUGAGCGGGCGGACGGGUGAGUAACGCGGUGGGAAUAUGCCCUUUGGUACGGAAUAGUCCUGGGAAACUGGGGGUAAUACCGUAUGCGCCCUCCGGGGGAAAGAUUUAUCGCCAAAGGAUUAGCCCGCGUUGGAUUAGGUAGUUGGUGGGGUAAUGGCCUACCAAGCCGACGAUCCAUAGCUGGUUUGAGAGGAUGAUCAGCCACACUGGGACUGAGACACGGCCCAGACUCCUACGGGAGGCAGCAGUGGGGAAUCUUAGACAAUGGGGGCAACCCUGAUCUAGCCAUGCCGCGUGAGUGAUGAAGGCCCUAGGGUUGAUAAGAGCUACUUCAGCUGGGAAGAUAAUGACGG